This 492-nucleotide ribosomal RNA is filed under the name uncultured bacterium. RNAcentral's name for it is "partial 16S ribosomal RNA". It matches the Rfam family "Bacterial small subunit ribosomal RNA", at positions 29 to 507 of the family's 1533-position model. The record is from RNAcentral.
AGUGAACGCUGGCGGUAGGCCUAACACAUGCGAGUCGAACGGCAGCACAGUAAGAGCUUGCUCUUACGGGUGGCGAGUGGCGGACGGGUGAGGAAUACAUCGGAAUCUACUUUUUCGUGGGGGAUAACGUAGGGAAACUUACGCUAAUACCGCAUACGACCUACGGGUGAAAGCAGGGGAUCUUCGGACCUUGCGCGAUUGAAUGAGCCGAUGUCGGAUUAGCUAGUUGGCGGGGUAAAGGCCCACCAAGGCGACGAUCCGUAGCUGGUCUGAGAGGAUGAUCAGCCACACUGGAACUGAGACACGGUCCAGACUCCUACGGGAGGCAGCAGUGGGGAUUAUUGGACAAUGGGCGCAAGCCUGAUCCAGCCAUACCGCGUGGGUGAAGAAGGCCUUCGGGUUGUAAAGCCCUUUUGUUGGGAAAGAAAAGCAGCAGGUUAAUACCCCGCUGUUCUGACGGUACCCAAAGAAUAAGCACCGGCUAACUUCGUG